ACCCGGAGCCGACUAGGGGGAAGAGUGGGGUGCGGAGCGGGAGGGGCGUGCUGGGAGCCGAGACCACGCGCUGUGCCCAACUGGUGCCGCGGGGCUGGGCGGCCGCUUACCUGGUCUUCUGGCAGGCGCAGCAGAUCCAGUCCUCCUCUUUCUUCUGGUAGAAGCAGCCGCUCUUACAGAUGCUGUAUUUCCGAUCCACUAUCUCCUUCUUGGAAUUGAGGAAGGUGAACGGCGGGCAGCAGUGUAUGCUGAAGUGUUCGGAGUACUUCUGGUUUUUGGAGAGUCUGGGACCCUCCUUGGCCGGUUUCUGACUCAUCUCACUGGAAAUCGCCGAUGCAAGGAGACAGGAGGAGACAUAAACGCACAUCAGGAAAGGGAGCCCUCUACUCUGGAAGCCCCCUGCUACUCCCAUAAUCCAAGGUAACAUUCAGGGGGGCCCUACAGAGCAACACCCUGGAAGACCAACUUCCCCCCAACUCUGUGGAAAGGAACUCAACUAACAGUUCAUUAAUUUUCAUUUGUGUAUUUUUAAAAAUCGUGUUUUUAAGGAGAAAAAGAAACAUGGGCUCUUGUUUUCCUUAUGUUUUAGAGACCCAUGUAAGAUAGGAAAACAUUUAAAACCAAACAUAUCCUUGACUAAAUAAUAUUCUAGAGUUAGGAAAAGCCUUUUCUCUAAAAAGCAAAAUAAAAAAUUUAUUAUUAUUUAUUAUUAAAACAAUCAUCAUUCAUGCAAUAAAAUACUACACAAGGAAAAAGAACAAACUGCUGACCUGCUGACAUACAUCAACACAUUUUGAUCUCACAGACAUACCAUUGAACAAAAGAAGUCAGACACAAGAAAACAAGCUGUGUGUACAGGAGGUUCAAGAACAGGCAAAACUAAUCGAUGGUGCUAGAAAUCAGAGCAUAGUUAUAUUUGGAGAAGGUGGGUUCCGACUCAGAAGGGGCAACAGGGGAGCUUGCUGGAGACUGAAAACAGUCCUUCUAGGAAUGUGACAGAUGCAGAAAUAGUCCUACCUAACACUGCAAAACACCGAAGCCCACAGGGGACUUACGUGACUAUCAAUCAACAGGAAUCAACUUAGUUAAUGGGCAUAAACUGGAUACUGAGAAUGUCUCUGCUCUCAACAAACUCAGGGUCAGGUUGGAGAUGCAUAUGUGCAGUAUGUAAUUACAAAACACUGUUAUGUUGGCCAAUACAAGUGUGUACAAAGCAUGGAAAAAGGAUGGAUUCCUUGAAGACAGAACCUAUAAUCUGGGUUUUUAAGGAUGAGUACAGAACAAUAACUAAAUAACUUUGAGGGG
RNAcentral lists this long non-coding RNA (1305 nucleotides) under Homo sapiens (human). Its description in RNAcentral is "HSALNT0053226". The record is from RNAcentral. Lineage: Eukaryota; Metazoa; Chordata; Mammalia; Primates; Hominidae.